RNAcentral lists this ribosomal RNA (465 nucleotides) under uncultured bacterium. Its description in RNAcentral is "bacterial SSU rRNA". It matches the Rfam family "Bacterial small subunit ribosomal RNA", at positions 329 to 792 of the family's 1533-position model. The record is from RNAcentral.
UACCAGACUCCUACGGGAGGCAGCAGUGAGGAAUAUUGGUCAAUGGGAGAGAUCCCGAACCAGCCAAGCCGCGUGAGGGAAGACGGCCCUACGGGUUGUAAACCUCUUUUGCCGGGGGACAAACGGCGGCACGCGUGCCGUCCUGAGGGUACCCGGAGAAAAAGCAUCGGCUAACUCCGUGCCAGCAGCCGCGGUAAUAUGGAGGAUGCGAGCGUUAUCCGGAUUUAUUGGGUUUAAAGGGUGCGUAGGCGGGAGGCCAAGUCAGGGGUCAAAUGCGGGGGCUAAACCUGCGUCCGCCGUUGAAACUGGCGUUCUUGAGUGGGCGAGAAGUACGCGGAAUGCGUGGUGUAGCGGUGAAAUGCAUAGAUAUCACGCAGAACCCCGAUUGCGAAGGCAGCGUACCGGCGCCCGACUGACGCUGAAGCACGAAAGCGUGGGUAUCGAACAGGAUUAGAUACCCGAGUA